UACGGAGGGGGCUAGCGUUGUUCGGAAUUACUGGGCGUAAAGCGCACGUAGGCGGUGGCGCAUGUCAGAUGUGAAAGCCCUGGGCUUAACCUAGGAAUUGCAUUUGAAACUGCGUCGCUAGAGGCCGGAAGAGGGUAGUGGAAUUCCCAGUGUAGAGGUGAAAUUCGUAGAUAUUGGGAAGAACACCGGUGGCGAAGGCGGCUACCUGGUCCGGUUCUGACGCUGAGGUGCGAAAGCGUGGGGAGCAAACAGG
This 253-nucleotide ribosomal RNA is filed under the name uncultured bacterium. RNAcentral's name for it is "partial 16S ribosomal RNA". It matches the Rfam family "Bacterial small subunit ribosomal RNA", at positions 524 to 776 of the family's 1533-position model. The record is from RNAcentral.